This 446-nucleotide ribosomal RNA is filed under the name uncultured bacterium. RNAcentral describes it as "partial 16S ribosomal RNA". It matches the Rfam family "Bacterial small subunit ribosomal RNA", at positions 338 to 795 of the family's 1533-position model. The record is from RNAcentral.
CCUACGGGGGGCAGCAGUCGAGAAUCAUUCACAAUGGUGGAAACCCUGAUGGUGCGACGCCGCGUGGGGGAAUGAAGGUCUUCGGAUUGUAAACCCCUGUCAUGUGGGAGCAAAUUAAAAAGAUAGUACCACAAGAGGAAGAGACGGCUAACUCUGUGCCAGCAGCCGCGGUAAUACAGAGGUCUCAAGCGUUGUUCGGAAUCACUGGGCGUAAGGCGUGCGUAGGCUGUUUCGUAAGUCGUGUGUGAAAGGCGCGGGCUCAACCCGCGGACGGCACAUGAUACUGCGAGACUAGAGUAAUGGAGGGGGAACCGGAAUUCUCGGUGUAGCAGUGAAAUGCGUAGAUAUCGAGAGGAACACUCGUGGCGAAGGCGGGUUCCUGGACAUUAACUGACGCUGAGGCACGAAGGCCAGGGGAGCGAAAGGGAUUAGAUACCCGUGUAGUC